Long non-coding RNA from Neoarius graeffei (lesser salmon catfish), 1816 nucleotides. RefSeq lists it as uncharacterized. NCBI's taxonomy places the organism in Eukaryota, Metazoa, Chordata, Actinopteri, Siluriformes, Ariidae. The transcript is spliced from 3 exons. The record is from RefSeq and is a predicted model, not a curated record.
UUCUAAAGGGUUCACAAACUUUCAAGCACCACUGUACACGACCGUUCAAAAGUUUGGGGUCACCCAGACAAUUUUGGUUUGCUGGUCACCAGGACAAACUGGUUUUAGACCAGUACACGUUGUGUUUUUGCUGGUCACCUGGACAAACUGGCUUUAGACCAGUACACUGUGUACCCACGCCCGGAUCACCGCACAGGCUUCAUAUGGCUUCAGCCUAGGGGCCCCCACGCCCCCCGCCUCGCAGGGGGGCCCCCAAUUGAUCAGAAGAAAAAACCCUUCAUAUUCAUGUUGCAAUACAUGUAAUGGAAUAGGCGUGUGUGCGUAAAGUUAUAGUAAACCGCCCCCCGCCUUUUUUUUUUUUUGAGUCGCCGGACCCACCCACCUCCUGCGUUCUGGGACCUCCCACUUCACAAAUUAAGCACUGAGUACACGUUGUGUUUUUGCUGGUCACCUGGACAAACUGGCUUUAGACCAGUACACGUUGUGUUUUUGCUGGUCACCUGGACAAACUGGUUUUAGACCAGUACACAUUGUGUUUUUGCUGGUCACCUGGACAAACUGGUUUUAGACCAGUACACGUUGUGUUUUUGCUGGUCACCUGGACAAACUGGUUUUAGACCAGUACACGUUGUGUUUUUGCUGGUCACCAGGACAAACUGGUUUUAGACCAGUACACGUUGUGUUUUUGCUGGUCACCUGGACAAACUGGCUUUAGACCAGUACACGUUGUGUUUUUGCUGGUCACCUGGACAAACUGGCUUUAGACCAGUACACGUUGUGUUUUUGCUGGUCACCUGGACAAACUGGCUUUAGACCAGUACACGUUGUGUUUUUGCUGGUCACCUGGACAAACUGGCUUUAGACCAGUACACGUUGUUUUUUUGCUGGUCACCUGGACAAACUGGCUUUAGACCAGUACACGUUUACUGUAAAAAAUAGAACUUCAUUUUUUUCUGCCCACACGUUGAUAUGAGUAAACAGAACUAAGAUGACAAGAAAACACUAUUAACUCGCAAUAAGAAGUUGUCAUAUCAAGUUCUGAAUGUAUUCAUCUGGAGACUUCUAUAACUAAGUGAGCUCAACUUGUCCGGAAAAACGGGGCACGCAACGGGGUUUCCCCGAGCCAGGAGCGGCUGAUAACGUCCGAAGCGGCUCGAGGGGCACUAGAGACCCAACUCCACGCACGCUUUUGGAAGUGGAUCAAAUUCAGAAGCUCAUCCCUCGCGUCAUCAUCAGGAACGAAGAGAGUGUAAAUUCAUCCACCCGGAUGUCCAGACCCUGCUGAAACAUUAUCACCUGAGACACCGAGGGGGUCAUCAAGAUGCCACGGUUAAAUCCAGAUGACAGAUGGCGGGCCCUCGGCAUGGUGCAAGCCAGCCUAAGUUUUUCAGAAGUUGGGCGUCGAUUGAAUGUCCAAACCCUGCCAUGGCCUGCGUAUUCACCUGAUCUCAAUCCCAUUGAGCAUUUAUGGGAUCACCUUGGUGUUCAGAUCCAGAACCGUGUUCCUCGUCCCAUGAACAGAGGUCAACUGAUCCAGGCUCUUCAAGAGGAGUGGCAGGCCAUUCCACAAGACAGGAUUCACCGUUUGAUACACAGUAUGCGUCGCAGACUGACGGCUUGUAUUGCUGUUGGUGGGGACAAUACUCGGUACUGAAGCUGCAACUUUCCAAUUACAGGGUAUCCAUUUUGUUCGGACUGUACAUUAUCAAAGCUCACAACAAUUGUGAUUUUUUGUUUAUUCAUCUCGAGUUAAAUGUCAGUAUAUUGAUCUGUAAGCUUCUAGUACAUGAUUUCAUAGCUUAUGAAUAAAAUUAUU